AUCUCUUCAUUGCCCCUUAUUUCUCUACUAACUCCUAUUUUCUUUUUAAUUUAGUUAAUUAAAUAAUUUCUACAUAAAGCCACUAAUUUCUAUUUUAUUUCUAAUAUUAAUUUAAAAUAUUAAUUAUUCUAAUUUCUAGUUAUUGUUAAUUAUUCUACUAAGUACCCAAAUUCUCCCCACACCCCUACCAAUACCAUUACACUACAUCAACACAUAUGAUCA
Molecule: long non-coding RNA, 222 nt
Filed under: Lathyrus oleraceus (garden pea)
Lineage: Eukaryota; Viridiplantae; Streptophyta; Magnoliopsida; Fabales; Fabaceae
Description: Pisum sativum (pea) long non-coding RNA (PSAT_LNC041876)
Source: RNAcentral